This 454-nucleotide ribosomal RNA is filed under the name uncultured bacterium. RNAcentral describes it as "bacterial SSU rRNA". It matches the Rfam family "Bacterial small subunit ribosomal RNA", at positions 340 to 786 of the family's 1533-position model. The record is from RNAcentral.
UACGGAAGGCAGCAGUGGGGAAUAUUGCACAAUGGGCGAAAGCCUGAUGCAGCUAUGCCGCGUGUAUGAAGAAGGCCUUAGGGUUGUAAAGUACUUUCAUCGGGGAGGAAAAACAAAACUAAUAAUUUUAUUUCUUGACGUUACCCGAAAAAGAAGCACCGGCUAACUCCGUGCCAGCAGCCGCGGUAAUACGGAGGGUGCUAGCGUUAAUCAGAAUUACUGGGCGUAAAGAGCACGUAGGUGGUUUUUUUAAGUCAGAUGUGAAAUCCCUGGGCUUAACCUAGGAACUGCAUUUUGAAACUGAAAUACUAGAGUAUCGUAGAGGGAGGUAGAAUUCUAGGUGUAGCGGUGAAAUGCGUAGAUAUCUGGAGGAAUACCUGUGGCGAAAGCGGCCCCUGGACAAAGACUGACGCUCAUGUGCGAAAGCGUGGGGAGCAAACAGGGAUUAGAUACC